AUAUAACAGCCUUUAACUAGUAAGCUUUAUCUCGCGUUGGCAUAAAAAAGCAUUUGUUUGUGUCUCAAAACAUUGGAAUAAGAUAAAUCUACUUUCCUGGUUAAUAGCUCAUGUCAUCAGUGCAAAUAUUAGAUUAAUCUAACCGUGUUUUAUGUUUAUCCAGCAUUUUACUGAAAAAAGUUAAUUUUAUGACUUACCUUUGCUCGGCAGUCUAGUUAUUUCUGGUGUUGUUAACUCGUGGAAUAUUUAGAAGCCUAAUUAGAUACCUACCAAACCAUUUUGACUGAUAGGAAAACCAGUCUUUACAUCGUUACUUUGGCUUAUCUCAUCCACUACAACAGUGUUAUUGUGGGUGAGGUUACAAUUCUUUAACAGCCACUAGCCUUAAAAAACGGAUGGAGAACCAAAUUGGCAGAGUUUCUAAACGCGUUACACGAAAACACAUCGUAAAACGACGGCAGAUGUACAAUCAAAUAAAACGUACAAAUACAAGUUUAUAUCAACCUAUUUUACAAGAAAAUUCAAAUGAACGGAUCAAGGAUGCUCAGGAUAUUAAUGAGCAGCUAUCGGUUACACGUCGAAAAAACAUACACGUCGUUAUUCAAGAAAACCUACAACCAGUGGACGAUUUUUACCUUAUUGACACGAAUGACGAAGAUUGCAACACAUCAGUGGAAGACCAUCAUCUGGUUCCCGAAGAAGAUUGUUCACAUGAUUCGGCUACCGGUAAAUUAGCACACUGGGUUAAACAUUUUCGAACACCCCAAAUCCACGUAGACAGCCUUUUGCAGGUACUACGACAAAAUACUUGACUUUCAUUUUUACCGAAAAAUUGCAAGACUUUAAUGAAAACUCUCCGAGAAAAGCUCGCAUUCCGACAAGUUGCUCCUGGCGCUUAUAUUCAUUUGGAAUUAAAGAAAGGUUUACUUUCUGAAAUUUACUAUGGGAAAAGAAAGCCUGAAUCAGUAAAUGAUUUCCUACAUGACUUUGUUGCGGAAGCAAAUGCACUCGAAAAUGAAGGCUUGCUUUUUAAUAAGAAAUUAUUUAAAGUUGCAAUAUACGUUAUCGUAUGUGAUGCGCCAGCCAAAAGCUUUGUCACCAGUGUAAAGGCACAUACAGCCUUCUUUGGUUGCCACAAAUGUGAAACAAAAGGCACAUAUGUUUUUAAUAUUGUUGGCAAGGCAGGUGGUAGAGUCACUUUUCCGGAACUCACGGCUAAACUCAGAGACGAUGAAUCUUUUUCGUUCGCAAAGCCAAAAAAACAUCAUCCUUCAAAAAAUGGCGAUCAAUCAUAGAACAUUUGAAGAUCGACCGCGUAAAAAACAUACCACUUGAUUAUAUGCACCUGGUUUGUCUUAGCGUAGAAAAAAAAAUUACUUGGCACUUGGAUUUCUGGAAAAUUCAAUUCAACCAGACUAAGUGCAGAAUUAUUGACCUCUUUGACCGUGUAUCUCGAAGGCAUUAAAAAUGUUAUUCCUUCAGAUUUUCAACGAAAAACGAGAAUGUUAAUCGAAUUUCCACAUGUGAAGGCAACAGAGCAUAGGCUUCAUUUACUGUAUGUUUUUCCAACAGCUUUAAGAAGUAUUCUGCCCCAAAAAAUGUAUAAUCACUAUCUUUUACUUCAUGUAGACAUAUUUGUCAACGAUUCCACUUUUAAAUCUUUCAAUGUUUAUGCAGAGGCUUUGCUGACGCAGUUCGUAGAAUAAUGUCAUCUCAUAUACGGACAAAAGGUUCUUAGCUAUAAUGUCCAUAACUUGAUACAUUUGGAUUCUGAUUGUCUGGAAUAUGGUUCUCUUGAUAACACCAGCGCGUUUAAAUUUGAGAACAGGCUUGAAAUAUUUAAACAUAACUGUAAAUUUUCAGCUUAUCUUCUUUAGCAGACUGUCCGGCGCUUAGACGCAGCUGUCAAACUUGAAAUUGGGCCAUGUUUGACUGGUUUAAGAACAACGCUACCAAAUCUAUUUAAAAACCACUUGGACGGACCUAUGGUCCCAGGCAUUAUUGGCAGUCAAUUUAAAAAAUACCAUUUCAAUUCUCUAAGGUUUUUCAUAACACCUCCCGAUCAUUGCGUAAAUUUGAAAAACAAGAAGGUAAUAUUAAUAAGAAAUUUCGUUCAAAUGAUAAGUGGCGGUAACAUGAUUCUUGGAAGUUUGCAUAAAAGAUAUUGUUGCGGCUAUUGAGACUAUGGACUCGAUCGUCAUGUCCGGCGAUCUUUUAUCGGAUAUUUCCCGCAAUCCUAUCCGAGAUGUCCGGCAGUCUUGUUCGUAGAGAUUUCCCACGAUAGCUUCUGUUCUCCAAAAGCAUAAAUACUCGUACGUUUCCCUUGCUGUAGCCAAAGUCUACUUAUAUCUGUUGUAGGGUUAUGUACGUUUACGGUGAAUAAACCUGUCUUAGUCACUA
Molecule: RNA transcript, 2400 nt
Organism: Daphnia magna
Lineage: Eukaryota; Metazoa; Arthropoda; Branchiopoda; Diplostraca; Daphniidae
Exons: 2
Source: RefSeq, a predicted model, not a curated record